This 724-nucleotide long non-coding RNA is filed under the name Homo sapiens (human). Its description in RNAcentral is "non-protein coding LINC01276:3". The record is from RNAcentral. Lineage: Eukaryota; Metazoa; Chordata; Mammalia; Primates; Hominidae.
GGACACUGCUGGCCAAGGGCCUCCACCUCAGGAGCUGCUGCCUCUCAUCCACUUCCGGGGCGAGGGUAAUGGAAGCUCCCUACCGCCAAGCACCACGACCCUCCCCUGCCUUCUCCAGGCCUAAGGGUCAAGCUGCCAGGCCACCAGGCAGUGCCAGACUAAAUUAGCAAAACAGAAGUCAACUGUCGAUUGCUUCAUUGGAGGAUUAAGUGUGAUAAAUGGGGGGUUUGUUCGCUCUCCGGUCCAGAUGUUGUGUCUAAGUAAGGGUUUUUUCAAAAAAAAGUUUUUUUACAUUCUUGGCCCAGGGCCCAUAUAUAUUUUGGAUACUGCUGGGAGUAUAUAAUAUCAUUGGAAAAUGAUGCGGUCUGCUAACCUUUUAAAUAACAUUUCCUCCCUCCUCUAUUUUCUAAUAGUUUGUUUUUCUUUCCAUGUUUGCCUUUUAUUGGGGGAAAUUUUUUUUGGAAAUUAAUGAGGCUCAAGUUUGGAGACCAAAAUAAAAAAGGGGUGGGGGAGUGUGAGAGGUGGAUGGGGUGUGGAAUGAAGCUGGGUGGAGGGAGGGCUACUCUUUGUGUGUUUUAAAGCGCUCCUGGUUUGAUUUUUUUUUUCUUGUAAUUUUCUCUGCCGAGGCUGCCCGCGGCCCUCCGGCGGGGCUGCGCGGUGGCGCGCGCGGGAAGGGCGCCCGGGACUCUCCGCCGCGCCGGGCACCCGCUCGCCCUGCCCGGGC